AGAGCGCUUUCCUGUCGCCGCGAGGGGAAGUGGGAGGAAGCAAAAGGGGAGGGGACUGCGCAUGCUCGUUGUAAGCCAAUUGAUCGCGCACUGUAGGAAUGCGGCUCCCAAAGACCUCACAACCUCUGAGGAUGCCUGCCAUAGAUGUGGGUGAAACGUCAGGUGAAUGCUUCCGGACAUGGACAGACAGCCCAGAAAACUCACAGCAACCCAGUGAUUCCAGCCUUCGGCAACACAUUGACUAUGUGGAUAAGGUAGCAAUUUAGCCCUUAAUUGUCUCCCGAUUCUAGCCACAUCUGGGACAUUUCAAACUGCAGCUCACAUAACCAUAUUCACUUUUUGCCCCUGGGUUGCAAGGCAGAAGAAGGCCUUCCAUAGAUUCCCAGCUGUCACUCUCAGACCAAGUUGCUUGUGGCCAUAGGGGAGCUUACCGAAAUACUACCUGUUUCUUCCUUUUCUCAGAAGAUAAGCAAUGUUCAUCCUUUGGUUCUCUGGUGUCCACUGGUUUGCGUUUUUUUUCACUCCCUCCAUUAGAUGACGUUUACUGCUUGGGAGGAGAGCAAUGACCAACUUAAGUAAAAUAGUGAAGAGUAGAGACAUCACACUGGCAACGAAGGUCCGCAUAGUGAAAGCAAUGAUAUUCCCCAUAGUAACCUAUGGAUGCGAGACUGGAUCAUAAGGAAGGCUGACUGAAGGAAGCUUCUGAACUGUGGUGUUGGAGGAACAUUCUGAGAUUGCCUUGGACUGAAAUGAGAUCCAACCAGUCUAUAAAAGGUAAAGGUUUCCCCUGACGUGAAGUACAGUCGUGACUGACUCUGGGGGUUGGUGCUCAUCUCCAUUUCUAAGCCAAAGAGCCGGCGUUGUCCAUAGACAUCUCCAAGGUCAUGUGGCUGGCAUGACUGCAUGGAGCGCUGUUACCUUCCCACCGGAGCGGUACCUUUUGAUCUCACAUUUGCAUGUUUUCGAACUGCUAGGUUGGCAGGAGCUGGGGCUAACAGCAGGCGCUCAUUCUGCUCCCGGGAUUUGAACCUGGGACCUUUUGGUCCGCAAGUUCAGCAGCUCAGCACUUUAACACACUGUGCCACCAGGGGCCCCAACCAGUCUAUACUCCAGGAAAUAAUGCCCGACUGCUCACUGGAGGGAAUGAUAUUAGAGGCAAAGAUGAAGUAAUUUGGCCACAUAAUGAGAAGGCAGGAAAGCUUGGAGAAGACAAUGAUGCUGGGGAAAAUUGAAGGAAAAAGGAAGAGGGGCCGACCAAGGGCAAGAUGGGUGGAUGGUAUCCUUGAAGUGACUGGCUUGAUCUUGAAGGAGCUGUGGGUGACCAUGGCCAACAGGGAGCUCUGGCGUGGGCUGGUCCAUGAGGUCAUGAAGAGUCAAAAGCGACUGAUCGAAGAAAAAACAACAGUUAACACUGUUGUUAUUGUGAUCUACUUGAUAUUAUUUAGCCCUAAAGCAGUGGUUCUCAACCUGUGGGCCCUGAGGUGUUUUAGCCUACAACUUCCAGAAAUCCCAGCCAGUUUACCUGCUAUUAGGAACUGUCGGAGUUGAAGUCCAAAACACCUGGAGGCCCAAAGGUUGGGAACUACUAUUGUAGUAGAUGCACCUUUGGUUUCAUGGCUCAGCAAGAAUUCCUUCAUUUCCCUGCCUGACAUCUUAAUUGUACCACAUUGGUUCCACACUCCUGUUCUCAAUCUGUUGUAUUUGGCUUGGUUUUAUCAGGAAAAAUUGCUUUUGUAUCUUUAAAACAAUAAACAUCAAUUGCUCA
This is a long non-coding RNA of Anolis carolinensis (green anole), 1765 nucleotides long. RefSeq lists it as uncharacterized. The transcript has 2 exons. The record is from RefSeq and is a predicted model, not a curated record. Lineage: Eukaryota; Metazoa; Chordata; Lepidosauria; Squamata; Anolidae.